This is an RNA transcript of Eriocheir sinensis (Chinese mitten crab), 6513 nucleotides long. It is a transcript of the gene named agrin-like, with no coding region annotated. Lineage: Eukaryota; Metazoa; Arthropoda; Malacostraca; Decapoda; Varunidae. The transcript is spliced from 11 exons. The record is from RefSeq and is a predicted model, not a curated record.
ACCCGCUCUUCCUGCACCUUUGAACCGCCUCUCUCGCCACGCGGAAAGAGAGAGAAAGAGAGAGAUAGAGAGAGGAAGAGAAAGAGAACAAAAGACAGAGGAAAACAAAGACUCACACCCGCAAGGAGGAGAAGAGUGGAAUAACAUGCACGAAGGAUCGACAGCAAAAAAUCGUGGACUUUAAACCUGAACUUGAACGACUGAGGAAUCUGUGUCAUAACCUUCCAGUCCGGACCGUCGUGUGUUGCGUGGCGGUCCUACAACACAAACCCACACACACACAAACACACACACACACUCACACGCACACACACACGUACAGUCACACCAAGCCGGCAAUCUCGAGGAAUCAAGUGUUGCGUCCGUCUUGAUCGUGUGUUACUUACUGUGAGCUCUGGGAAGUGUUGCGCGGAGUGUUGUACUGACUUGAGGGAAGCCUGUGAACUCUGGACCUUGGGAAUCUGCUUACCUGCCUGCUUCCGCCCACCUGCUUGCCCGGCCUACCUGCUGGUGAUCUCGACGAAGGAGGAAGUAACGAGCCGGGACACACACACACACACACACACACACACACACACACACACACACACACACACACGCACACGCAAGGAUGAGAUUAUUAUUCCUUCUGUUUGCUAUUGGGUCGGCGGCGGCGGCGGUGGGUCUGCGCUCCAAGGGGUGUAUAGACAAAUGCCCUGAGGAUCUGAAGCCCGUGUGUGCCUCGGACGGGAUCAUUUACUCCAGCGUGUGCCACAUGAAGAAGGAAAACUGCGGCAAAGGCGACGUGUACGUGUUACCUGACGAGCAGUGUGCCAGGGCCAGGGGAGGGAGCUGCCAACACAGGUGCCUCAACACUCGCGACCCCGUCUGCGCCUCCGACGGGAGAACGUACCUCAACGUGUGCUUGCUGCGCGUGGAGAACUGCAGGUCUGGGGUGGAGUUUGCCCAUUACGGCGUGUGCUUGGGGAGUGACGAGGAGAACAGCACAGAGGACGAGGAUGAGGACUGUCCCAAAGACUGUACGUACGCCGAGGAGGACGGUCCCAUCUGCGCUUCCGACGGCAAUGUUUACAACUCCACCUGCGACAUGAAGCACCGUACCUGUGGGCAGCGUGUGGUUCAGACCCUCCUGAAGCACUGCCCCACCACCGAACACUGCCUCGACGUCUGCCUCUACUCCUUCAGGGCCGUCUGCGCCUCCGACGGCAGGAUCUACAACAACGAGUGUCAGAUGAAGAUGCGGAACUGCGGCCGCCACAUCUUCAAGCUGCCCAUGGGGGAGUGUCGACCCCACGAGAGGAUGCCGGGGGCGUGUCCUGUGACCUGCAUAGGCGAGAAGUAUGACCCUGUGUGCGGCUCCGACGGCUACAUCUACGACAAUGAGUGUGACAUGAGGCGGCUGACGUGCGGGUCUCGCGGGGCCGGAGCAGUGUACAAGGUGUCGAUGGAGAAGUGUGAGAAAAGAAAGAAGUGUGACAAGAUGACGUGCCCGAGCGUGCCCGACCCAGUAUGCGGCACCGAUAGCGUCACCUACAUCAACUUCUGCUUCCUCCACGUGGCCUCCUGCAAGAGAGGCGUGGAGUUGGCACACUACGGCCGAUGCACGGAGCCCAGCCAGUCCGACGCGUGCCCCGACGAUUGCCCCGAUACCGAUGAGGAGGAGUUCCCGGUGUGUGGCUCGGACGGCAACGCCUACCCCUCCUACUGCGAGAUGAAGCGACGAACCUGCGGACAGAAAGUGGUUCCCGUCGCCCUGCACCACUGCGAGGCCACCAAGCACUGUCUGGACCGCUGCGACAAGCAAAGGCAUGCCGUCUGCGCCUCCGACCAGAGGAUCUACAGGAGCGUGUGCGAGAUGAAGGCCAGGAACUGUGGCAAACACGUCUACCAAGUCCCAAUGGAUCGCUGUCUGUCCGGGUUCAACUUCAUCAACUGCUACAAGAUCUGCCCACCGAUGUUCAACCCUGUGUGUGGGACGGACGGAAAGACCUACAGUAACGAGUGCUUCCUGGAGAUGGAGAAGUGCCGCUCCCGAAGUCUUGGUAGGAGCCUCGUCGUGUCCCGCGUGUACGAUGGUGCUUGUGGCCGCCCGGUACCGAGGGCUAAGCUGUAUAUGUUUAGAUAAGGUGUAUGGGAAGAGGGAUGGGUGGAUGAGGGUGUGUGUGGGGAGGGGAUGAGGGAGGAAGGGAUGGUGUUUGUGCUGGUGUGGAUAGGUCGAUAGGUGGAGGGUGUUGUUUUAAGGGGUGUGGAAGGAGAAGGGUUGUUUGUUUGUGUUUGUGUUGUGUGUGUGUGUGUGUUUCUUUUUGUGUUUGUGUGGGUUUGUUUACUUUGUUCUUGGCUGUUUUGUUGUUUUCUUUUUUUGUUAUCUUGUUUCUUUUUUCAGUGUUUCGUUUUCUUCGGUUUUCUUUUUUUUGUGUCCACAGUUUGUUUUAUCUUAUUUUCAUUCUUUCUCCCUUUUUCUUUAUUUUCUUUCCUUCCGUUCUUUUCUUCCUUCCUUCCUUCCUUCCUUUCUUCCUUCGGUUUUUCCAUUCUUUAUUUUUCUUUCUUUCUUUCUUCGAUAUAUCAUAAGCCUCUUCUUCCUUCACUUUUUCCUUUCUUUCUGUUUUUCUUUCCUUCUUUCUUUCCUUCUUUCUUCCUCUCGAUAUAUCAUAAGUCUCUUCGUAGAUCUGUUGUGUUCAUAGCAAGUAACAAGGAUCAGUGUUUGGUCUUGUGUACAGUAAGUUAGGUAAAGUAAGUGAAUGGAGAGGAAACGAAAACCGGUUAAACAUAUCAGAAAACAUGUCGAAUCAAAUAGAAAGUGGAGCAGCUAAGAUUCGCAAAGAUAUAUAUAGUUGACAGAUUCGUUCCAUAGGAGAGGAAAAUCGGUUAAACAUACCAGUGAACGUAUCGAAUUAAUAAGAAAGAAGAGCUGCUGAGAUUCGCAAGUAUUUAUAGCUGAUAGGUUUGUUCCAUGGCAAAUAAAAACGAGCGAAGAUAAUGUGGGUCAGGAUAAUGUGAGUGUUGUUGUCCACUGCAAUUCUUCACCCAAAACACAGAAUGGUAGAUGAUAUAGAGAAGAUGGCGCCACUAUAAACACCUGCCUGCGCAAAUACGGGCUGGGGCCGACUACCAUCCAGGCCCCUCAAGCAAGCCUACCGGCGCUAUAGGCGUAGACUUAAAAAAAAAAAAAAAAAAAAAAAAAAAAAAAAUUAGAAGAUUACCAAUGAAAUAUAAAAUAGAGAAUGGUAAAUAAGGGAGAAAUAGUAGAAGAUAAUGAUCCCGAAGGUGGUUAGAUAUUCACCUCCGGAAAGAAAUGAUCAAGAUAGAAAAGAUUGAACAUAAAUAGAUUGAGUGAACUUAAGGUAACAUUGCAGAGUCGUAAAGUUAAAAGAAAUAUAAGUUAACACUGCAGAUAGAUACCGUUAACAUUGCAAAGGAAAAACAUAUGAAAUUAAUAGAAAAGAUUGAAAAUAAAUAAAUAGAUUAAAUGAACUUAUGGUAACAUUGUUGAUAAGUAAAUUGAGUUGAAAAUAAGUUAACACUGCAGAUAGAUACCGUUAACAUUGCAAAGGAAAAACAUAUGAAAGUAAUAGAAAAGAUUGAAAACUAAUAGAUUGAGUGAACUUAAGGUGACAUUGCAGAGUCGUAAAGUUAAAAGAAAUAUAAGUUAACACCGCAGAUAAAUACCGUUAACAUUGCAAAGGAAAAACAUAUGAAAUUAAUAGAAAAGAUUGAAAAUUAAUAGAUUGAGUGAACUUAAGGUAACAUUGCAGAGUCGUAAAGUUAGUUGAAAUUAAGUUAACACUGCAGACAGAUACCGUUAACAUUGCAAGGGAAAAACAUAUAAAAUCAACAUAGCUUCCGAUAACUGUAACUCAGAUUUUGGGACAGAGGAAGAUCACUCAUUAAAACAGACGAAUUAAUCCUUUCACGUCUUCCAGUAUAUACUUCGUCAUUCCACUUCUACCCUCGCAGUUUAAAGCAGAGAAUGAGUCUGUUCGAAUGCCAUGCUGUAGUUUCGUUCCUUCGUCUUUCUUUCGUUGUUGUCGUGACGUUCGCCUCCGUGCAACCGUCCAUGGGAUACAAGUAUUCGUGGAAUCAGUAAAUAUUUUGCCGGCCACUGAUCUUGCUGUCCAGUGGCUGCUUCCUUCCCACCAGUAGCCUUUCCUGUGAUAUUUUUAUACGCUUGUCUCCUGAUCUGUUCGUCCCAGCAUCACUAGAGCAAGAUCUGCAUAUGCGUGUGUUUAAAUCUUGCACUAGAGGACAGUAAACGUAAUGAAGUGUCUCGUCUGUCAUGUUAGGUUGUGUUUGGUAGUAAUUUCCGCACCUUUCCCAUCACUAAAGCAAGAUCUAUAAAUGCGUGUGUUGAAAUCUUACACUUAUAAAGGACAGUAAACGUAGUGAAGUGUCUCGUCUGUCAUGUUAGGUUGUGUUUGGUAGUAAUUUCCGCACCUUUCCCAUCACUAAAGCAAGAUCUAUAAAUGCGUGUGUUGAAAUCUUACACUUAUAAAGGACAGUAAACGUAGUGAAGUGUCUCGUCUGUCAUGUUAGGUUGUGUUUGGUAAUCUGUUCGCAUCUUUCCGCUCAGUAGUUGUAUAAGAAAUUAAACUCCUGGGGUGGUACAGAUAAUUUAGCCGAGUUAUAAAAUUGAAAUACUACCAAAAGUGAACUAUAAUAAUGAAACUUUUUUGACGUUUUAUACCAAUGCCAAUAGAUAAAGUAUGGCAAUUAAAGUAUGAUGAAUUGAUAAAGUAUGAUAGUGACACUUUUUUUGCACUUUAAUGAUGCGAAUAGGUAAAGUAUAUAUAGUUUUUUCAUUAUCAUACAUCACUUAACUUCCCAUUGUAUAGUUUCAUGUCCUAUAUAUGCGUACUAAUUGAAAUGGUGCGUACGAAUUAGCCAACCCACCCAAAUUUCGCUGUACGAGAGAGUUACGUCACACAAAGAUAUCUCGCGACUGUGACUUAAAGGUCGGUAUUGCCAGACGCUUCCACGCCUCACACCAACUGUUCUCAAAGGCCGAAUAGAAGAUCACUCGGGUACUAAUGCAUCUUUUUGAGGUUCACGGUACAGAGGAAGGGUCAAACUACCACCAGGGGUCAUAAAACUACUACUGGAAAUACCCACUACUCCUAUGAAAGCCUUGUCAAAUAUGUGAGCUUGGGUGUGGAAAUUUUUAAGAAUAUGACCCCUACGCUCCUGAGAUGAAAGAAAACGGAAACGAAAAAGAUAAACUCCAAGGUCUUCACGAAUGAUGCUGGGGGUUUCGAACGAGGGGCAGCUUAUGUAUUUGUAGAUUAUGCUUUCCCCUAUCGCCAUAUGCACACCUGGUCGCGGAGUGCCUACCUGAGAACACACAAACACAUGUACGACUUGAAUUAACUAGUCUUCAUGAAGGAACUCUGAUAUGCACCUUGAAGACGUUACCUAUACGAUUUUUUUUUUCACUUUUUGACGAGAGAAAAAAAAACACUACGGCUACAUUUUGGAUUAGUAAAGAGAUAAGUGAGAAAAUGUGUUGCUUUUAUUAAUUAUUUUUUGCGCUUUACUUCUAUUUUGCGUCUAUAUUUUGGAAUGGUAAAAAAAAAAGAGAGAAAAAAUGUAGCUUUUAUAUAUAUGCUUUUUGCGCUUUCUACUUUGCGUCUAUAUUUUGAAAUAGUAAAAAAAAUAGAGAAAAUAUGUUGCUUUUUUAUAAAUGCUUAUUGCGUUUUACUAUAACGAAAACGAAAAUCCAAAGUUGAAGUCCAUUAUGAUGACGGUAGGCACUCUGGGAUCAUUAACCUUCAGUAUUUAUUAAGUAUUUAUUAUUUUGUAUUUAGUAUAUCAUUAUUGGCGAAUCGCGUAUUUUUCCUGUAAUUUAGCGUAAGGAGGGAAAGCAGGGUCAGUGUUUCUUUUUAAUAAUUUUUACAGCAGAGGAGACAGUGCAAGGGCGUAAAAAUAAAAGAAAACAAUAAUGAAAAUAAAAAAAAAAGCCCGCUCCUUGCUGCUCCUGAAUAGAGUAGAGAGUACCGCCUUUGCUGCUGAAGUCUGCCAGUUUGCAUCAUUUACCGUUUCUUAUGUUGUUAUUUAUCGUGUAGUUCGAGUUGACGGGGAGGGAUUCGGAUAGAGGGAUUCGGAAAGAGGGAUUCGGAAAGAGGGAUUCGGAUAGAGGGAUUCGGAUAGAGGGAUUCGGAUAGAGGGAUUCGGAAAGAGGGAUUCGGAAAGAGGGAUUCGGAAAGAGGGAUUCGGAAAGAGGGAUUCGGAUAAAGGGAUUCGGAUAGAGGGAUUCGGAUAGAGGGAUUCGAAUACCUUAUCGUGCGCCGGCCAUAGCAUUCAGUAGUGUAUUCUUGACCUGUUGCUGUAGCGUUCUUGUAGUGGACUUGUUGGGGGGCGCCUUCAGUAGUGGUCGGUGGCUUCGUGGCGGGCGUGAGAGGAGAGCCAUAGUAGAUGUAGCAGUAUUGUAUUGUUGUUGUUGUUGUUAUUAUUGUUAUUGUUAUAUGUAUUGUUGGUAAUGUUCUUGUUGUGGAAUAAAUUAUCUGCAUUGCCUUCAUUUUG